GGGGUCCUUCGGCGUGCUUCGGCUUUGCUGCAGGGCCGUCGGAGCUUCGCGGUGGUGGCUUGGCGAAUUAGGCGGCGGUUCUCCGGCGAUUGCUCGCCGAAGUUGGGCGGCGGCGGCGGCGGUUUGGGCGCAGGGAGGGAGAGAGCGUGGGCGCGGGCGGGUGCGGGCGAGAGCGUGCGAGAGAGGGGUGCGGGGGCGCUUUAUAGGGCUCGGGGGCGCAUGGGCGAGGUGGCCGGCGAUUUCGCGCGGGGUGGAGGUCGUGGCGCCGGCGGAGUUGAGCCGGAGGUAGGGGAUGACAGGUGGGGCCCGCCUGUAGGUGAAAGAGAAGAGAGAGAACAGAGGAAGAAAGAAGGUCGGUCGUUGGAUCUGAGAUGGACAGCUAGGAUUAGAAGAUACCCCUUCAGGGUUUUAAGUGAAAGCGUAUUUCGCUGAGAAUACGCUUUCCUGUGGGGAAAGCGUAUUUUCAGAGAAAAAGGAAAAGAAUAAAAGAAAAAUACUUUUCAGGAUCUAUAAUUCACCCGAAAAUCCAUUUAAAUCAUUUAAAAUAUCAAAUGGUUCCAAAAAAUGCCCAAAAAUUCUGUAAAAUAAUAUAUUUCAUCUAGAGUCCAGGAAAAUUAUUCCCACUCAAAAAUAAAAUAAUAAAAAUAGUUUUAAUGCCUUUAAGCUUCAAAUAAAUCCAAAUAAAAUCCUAGAAUGCAUUUUUAAAUUCUAGAAAAUUGUCAAAUAAAUUUCUACCAACCUAACACAUUCCAAAACACCAUUUCAAACACUUUCAAUAAAGCAUCAUAAUGAAACUCCAAAAUUUUAAGAUAUGAUCAAGGUGAUAUGCAUGAGAAAUGAAAAGGUGUGAACAUCCGAAAUUGAAAAUUUGGGAUGUUACACGUACCCGGGC
Molecule: long non-coding RNA, 892 nt
Filed under: Brachypodium distachyon (stiff brome)
Lineage: Eukaryota; Viridiplantae; Streptophyta; Magnoliopsida; Poales; Poaceae
Description: long non-coding RNA (BDIS_LNC003717)
Source: RNAcentral